RNAcentral lists this ribosomal RNA (673 nucleotides) under bacterium enrichment culture clone SC-2_75. RNAcentral's name for it is "bacterial SSU rRNA". It matches the Rfam family "Bacterial small subunit ribosomal RNA", at positions 1 to 667 of the family's 1533-position model. The record is from RNAcentral.
UAGAGUUUGAUCCUGGCUCAGAUUGAACGCUGGCGGCAUGCUUUACACAUGCAAGUCGAACGGCAGCGCGGGCGGGGGUAACCUCGCCUGGCGGCGAGUGGCGAACGGGUGAGUAAUACAUCGGAACGUACCCAGAAGUGGGGGAUAACGUAGCGAAAGUUACGCUAAUACCGCAUACGUUCUACGGAAGAAAGUGGGGGACCGCAAGGCCUCAUGCUUUUGGAGCGGCCGAUGUCUGAUUAGCUAGUUGGUAGGGUAAAGGCCUACCAAGGCGACGAUCAGUAGCUGGUCUGAGAGGACGACCAGCCACACUGGGACUGAGACACGGCCCAGACUCCUACGGGAGGCAGCAGUGGGGAAUUUUGGACAAUGGGCGCAAGCCUGAUCCAGCAAUGCCGCGUGAGUGAAGAAGGCCUUCGGGUUGUAAAGCUCUUUUGUCAGGGAAGAAACGGCUGAGGCGAAUACCCUCGGCUAAUGACGGUACCUGAAGAAUAAGCACCGGCUAACUACGUGCCAGCAGCCGCGGUAAUACGUAGGGUGCGAGCGUUAAUCGGAAUUACUGGGCGUAAAGCGUGCGCAGGCGGUUUUGUAAGUCUGACGUGAAAUCCCCGGGCUCAACCUGGGAAUUGCGUUGGAGACUGCAAGGCUGGAGUCUGGCAGAGGGGGGUAGAAU